AGUACUGUCAUGGCGUGUGUGUGUAAUAAUCUCAUGGUGUUUGUGUAGUACUGUCGCUGUGUUUGUGUAGUACUGUCAUGGCGUGUGUGUGUAGUACUGUCACUGUGUUUGUGUAGUACUGUCACUGUGUUUGUGUAGUACUGUCGCUGUAUUUGUGUAAUAAUGUCAUGGUGUUUGUGUAGUACUGUCAUGGCGUGUGUGUGUAAUAAUGUCAUGGUGUUUGUGUAGUACUGUCGCUGUGUUUGUGUAGUACUGUCAUGGCGUGUGUGUGUAGUACUGUCAUUGUGUUUGUGUAGUACAGUUGAAGAGUUUGUUCUAUACUGGAUGUGUAGCAGAAAAAAAGUUGUGUCUGAUGUAUUGGAGUAUGUGUUUUUGGUGUUGAAACAUGUAUAGGACAAAGACACCUUGUUUGGGAGUGUUGCAUGCAGUGUGAAAGUGCAGUGUAUUGGGGUGAGGGGAG
This is a non-coding RNA of Pelobates cultripes (western spadefoot toad), 460 nucleotides long. The record is from the annotation of a GenBank genome assembly. NCBI's taxonomy places the organism in Eukaryota, Metazoa, Chordata, Amphibia, Anura, Pelobatidae.